RNAcentral lists this ribosomal RNA (492 nucleotides) under uncultured bacterium. Its description in RNAcentral is "partial 16S ribosomal RNA". It matches the Rfam family "Bacterial small subunit ribosomal RNA", at positions 29 to 507 of the family's 1533-position model. The record is from RNAcentral.
AGUGAACGCUGGCGGUAGGCCUAACACAUGCAAGUCGAACGGCAGCACAGUAAGAGCUUGCUCUUACGGGUGGCGAGUGGCGGACGGGUGAGGAAUACAUCGGAAUCUACUUUUUCGUGGGGGAUAACGUAGGGAAACUUACGCUAAUACCGCAUACGACCUACGGGUGAAAGCAGGGGAUCUUCGGUCCUUGCGCGAUUGAAUGAGCCGAUGUCGGAUUAGCUAGUUGGCGGGGUAAAGGCCCACCAAGGCGACGAUCCGUAGCUGGUCUGAGAGGAUGAUCAGCCAAACUGGAACUGAGACACGGUCCAGACUCCUACGGGAGGCAGCAGUGGGGAAUAUUGGACAAUGGGCGCAAGCCUGAUCCAGCCAUACCGCGUGGGUGAAGAAGGCCUUCGGGUUGUAAAGCCCUUUUGUUGGGAAAGAAAAGCAGCAGGUUAAUACCCCGCUGUUCUGACGGUACCCAAAGAAUAAGCACCGGCUAACUUCGUG